AUCUUUUGAGUAUGAAGAAGUACAUUUGCCUUCCAAGCAGAAAGUUUAAAUAAUUUUAAAAGAGAUA
Molecule: transfer RNA, 67 nt
Filed under: Conus textile (cloth-of-gold cone)
Lineage: Eukaryota; Metazoa; Mollusca; Gastropoda; Neogastropoda; Conidae
Description: tRNA-Gly
Source: RNAcentral